Molecule: non-coding RNA, 359 nt
Organism: Arachis ipaensis
Lineage: Eukaryota; Viridiplantae; Streptophyta; Magnoliopsida; Fabales; Fabaceae
Source: RefSeq, a predicted model, not a curated record
CAUCACACAUGGGCAUAUAGGUGCCUUCACAAACCACAAAUGAGUUGAAAAGGGAUAUUUAAAUAUUUAAGGAACAAAAAGGAGGAAAAAGGAGAAGUCCAAAAAAGAGAGGAAUUGGGUUCAAUUUUGCCAAUGUCAGAGAAGGAGAAUGUAAUUUGCCCUAUAGUUUAAGGACCCAAAGUGAUAUAGUUCAAAAUUGAUUCAAUGGAUGAAACUAAAGUUCCACUGCUUAAUACUCAUUCCACCACUCAGUAUUGACUAUUGAUGUUAUUGCAACAACCAAUAGGCAAAAAUAUUUCACUGUCUAAAAUGUAAUUUCCAGCAAAUCUUGGAGCCAUUGGAAGAACUAUGUACAGUCA